CCCUAAAAGCUUUAUUUUAAAUAUAUUUUAAAAAUUAAUUAUAAAUAGUAAAUUAAAUAUAAAAAUUAACUGGGGUAGUUGUUUCAAAAAAAUUGAAAUUUUUUUACAGUUUUAAAUAAAUGGUUUAAGUUCUUUUAGAUAAGGAAAAUUAGUGUUAGUUACUUUAGGGAUAACAGCGUUAUAUUUUUGGAGAGAUCUUAUCUAUAAAAAUGAUUGCGACCUCGAUGUUGAAUUAAAAUUACUUUAUAAAGUAGAAU
RNAcentral lists this ribosomal RNA (257 nucleotides) under Lysianassoidea sp. Primitive 2 HR-2015. RNAcentral describes it as "partial 16S ribosomal RNA". Lineage: Eukaryota; Metazoa; Arthropoda; Malacostraca; Amphipoda. The record is from RNAcentral.